UAACCACUCAAGCCUUUGCUUGGUAUUGGGGUUCGCCGUCUCGCGGCCCCUAAAAUCAGUGGCGGUGCCUGUCGGCUCUACGCGUAGUAAUACUCCUCGCGAUUGAGUCCGGUAGGUAGCUUGCCAGCAACCCCUCAUUUUUACA
Molecule: unclassified non-coding RNA, 145 nt
Filed under: uncultured Hypocreales
Lineage: Eukaryota; Fungi; Ascomycota; Sordariomycetes; Hypocreales
Description: sequence contains ITS2
Source: RNAcentral